UACGUAGGGACCAAGCGUUGUUCGGAUUUACUGGGCGUAAAGGGCGCGUAGGCGGCAAUUCAAGUCAUCUGUGAAAUCUCCGGGCUUAACCCGGAACGGUCAGAUGAUACUGCUUUGCUAGAGUGCGGAAGGGGCAAUCGGAAUUCUUGGUGUAGCGGUGAAAUGCGUAGAUAUCAAGAGGAACACCUGAGGUGAAGACGGGUCGCUGGGCCGACACUGACGCUGACAGCGCGAAAGCCAGGGGAGCAAACGGG
RNAcentral lists this ribosomal RNA (254 nucleotides) under uncultured bacterium. RNAcentral describes it as "partial 16S ribosomal RNA". It matches the Rfam family "Bacterial small subunit ribosomal RNA", at positions 524 to 776 of the family's 1533-position model. The record is from RNAcentral.